AUUGAACGCUGGCGGCAUGCUUUACACAUGCAAGUCGAACGGCAGCACGGGUGCUUGCACCUGGUGGCGAGUGGCGAACGGGUGAGUAAUAUAUCGGAACAUGUCCGGAAGUGGGGGAUAACGUACCGAAAGGUACGCUAAUACCGCAUAUGCCCUGAGGGGGAAAGGGGGGGAUCGCAAGACCUCUCGCUUUCGGAGUGGCCGAUAUCGGAUUAGCUAGUAGGUGAGGUAAAGGCUCACCUAGGCGACGAUCCGUAGCUGGUCUGAGAGGACGACCGGCCACACUGGGACUGAGCAACGGCCCAGACUCCUACGGGAGGCAGCAGUGGGGAAUUUUGGACAAUGGGCGCAAGCCUGAUCCAGCCAUGCCGCGUGAGUGAAGAAGGCCUUCGGGUUGUAAAGCUCUUUCAGCUGGAAAGAAAGCGUACUUAUUAAUACUAGGUGCGGAUGACGGUACCAGCAGAAGAAGCACCGGCUAACUACGUGCCAGCAGCCGCAGUAA
RNAcentral lists this ribosomal RNA (502 nucleotides) under uncultured bacterium. RNAcentral describes it as "partial 16S ribosomal RNA". It matches the Rfam family "Bacterial small subunit ribosomal RNA", at positions 30 to 523 of the family's 1533-position model. The record is from RNAcentral.